Molecule: long non-coding RNA, 623 nt
Filed under: Anas platyrhynchos platyrhynchos (common mallard)
Lineage: Eukaryota; Metazoa; Chordata; Aves; Anseriformes; Anatidae
Description: lncRNA (ENSAPLG00000028045.1)
Source: RNAcentral
AAUUCUUUCACCAUCUAAUCUGAAGUUCUCUAAAGACUAACUGACUUCACAGGUGCCAUACACUUGUGUAUCAUUACCUCAGCUGCCCUGGAAGCUGAGAUAAUAAUGGGACAGACAGCUUUCAAAGAAGUAAAUGGGCUUAAGAAUUAGUUAGCAGCUGAAGAAAAGAAUCCUAUACAGAAAUACAGAUGAAGAUGCCCAGAAGACACUACAUGUAACACUGCCAGCAGGAAAAUCCAGAAAUGGAUCUGGUUCUAGAGGUUCAUGGGCCUCCUGUUGUCUUCUCCCUUUGAACCCGCUCUGAAAUUUAGUUCUUUCUCUCAGUGAAAGCCAGGCAGGUGUCAGCAUUGCUUCUGAAGAGAAAAGAGAACAGAGGAAAGCUCAUGUGCGUUUGACUAAUGUGACCUUUGAUGUGACUGUAAGGAGAAAAGAAGUGAGGAAGAUGACUAGAAGGAAAAAGCAAGAAUGUAAGACAGCUCUUCCUGCAGCUUCUUUCAUAUUUUAUUAUAUUAGGAGAAAUGCCCAAUCCCUCUAUUAAAAUUAAUGUAUGAAUCCCAGUCACUAAAAUGCUUGUGGUACUUUGAAGUUUGACUUGAUUAAUAUGACCGUAAUUUCCAUGAAAG